GGGGGUGUAGCUCAGUGGUAGAGCGUGUGCUUAGCAUGCACGAGGUUCCGGGUUCAAUCCCCAACCCCGGCACCUCCA
Molecule: non-coding RNA, 78 nt
Organism: Sorex fumeus (smoky shrew)
Lineage: Eukaryota; Metazoa; Chordata; Mammalia; Eulipotyphla; Soricidae
Source: the annotation of a RefSeq genome assembly